GUCCUACACUUCACUCCCCACGACUUCACGACUUCUCGUGACUCUCGGAAGUGGAACAAAGUGAGCCAAAACCACUUUACCGACACAUUCCAGCCACGAAAAACAACAAGAGGAACGCAUGAGAACUUCCUUUGUAUACGAACGUGCGUAGAUACGUGGUGGGCGGAAAAGUUUUUGCCGGAAAAGUGUCACUCAAAAACAGCAGAAGAAAACAACAGAACUUGUGGCAAGUCAAGCAGCGAACUCAAAGGGAAAUGGAAAAAUGGAAAAAGCUUAAUUAAUUGAUUGAAGCUCGAGAUGGUAACGGUUAAAUUAGGGGAACUACAAACUGAAAAAUAUAUUCUUUUAAAUCGAUUCUCUCGAUGGACAUCCUAGAGCUACUAGCACUUUGAGAAUAUGAAAUCACCUUUCCAUACUCGUACGAGAAACAGCGUAAUGAAACUGUCUGCGGUAGCUGUACACUCCAAAAGCAGCCAAAACACUCGUUGAACAAAUGGUAAAUUAAGUUUCAAAAACAGCUUCUACUCAUGGCAACUGCAGGUUGCUCUUGUCACUGUUUCUCUGUUUCUAAAAAGUCGAGCUGGGAAAAAGCAGAACCAAAUGGCUGACAAGUGCACGCCGGGCCAUGCCAGUCAAACUGCUUGACUCUUGUGCUGUCUGUGCUCCCUGGCCAUUUAACUGCUGCAACCAUCCCUGUUUCAACUGCAGUCGAGAAGCUGCCAGCAGUCCAUGGUCUGACAAAAAAGCCAGAGUACCAAGGCGAUGUCAUGGGUGGCCCUUAAUUGAAUUGAACGCGUCGGCUUCCGCCUUUAUGAUGGCUUCUGCUAUUUUUUCUGUUGUUUAAUUAUCACUUUUUUAAGACGCAUUAACAUAAAUUACAUGAAAAUAAAUAAACAUAAAUAAAUAAACAAACAAAAGAAAAAGAUACAAUUAAA
Drosophila pseudoobscura is the source of this 935-nucleotide long non-coding RNA. RefSeq lists it as uncharacterized. The record is from RefSeq and is a predicted model, not a curated record. The transcript is spliced from 2 exons. NCBI's taxonomy places the organism in Eukaryota, Metazoa, Arthropoda, Insecta, Diptera, Drosophilidae.